GUAGGUGGCAAGCGUUGUCCGGAAUUAUUGGGCGUAAAGCGCGCGCAGGCGGUUUCUUUAAGUCUGAUGUGAAAGCCCACGGCUCAACCGUGGAGGGUCAUUGGAAACUGGAGAACUUGAGUACAGAAGAGGAAAGCGGAAUUCCACGUGUAGCGGUGAAAUGCGUAGAGAUGUGGAGGAACACCAGUGGCGAAGGCGGCUUUCUGGUCUGUAACUGACGCUGAGGCGCGAAAGCGUGGGGAGCAAACAGGAUUAGAUACCCUGGUAGUCCACGCCGUAAACGAUGAGUGCUAAGUGUUAGGGGGUUUCGCCCCCCUUAGUGCUGCAGCUAACGCAUUAAGCAUCCGCCUGGGAUACGGCCGCAAGGCUG
RNAcentral lists this ribosomal RNA (370 nucleotides) under uncultured organism. Its description in RNAcentral is "partial 16S ribosomal RNA". It matches the Rfam family "Bacterial small subunit ribosomal RNA", at positions 527 to 896 of the family's 1533-position model. The record is from RNAcentral.